UGGGGAAUAUUGCGCAAUGGGGGGAACCCUGACGCAGCCAUGCCGCGUGAAUGAAGAAGGCCUUCGGGUUGUAAAGUUCUUUCGGUAUUGAGGAAGGUUGAUGUGUUAAUAGCACAUCAAAUUGACGUUAAAUACAGAAGAAGCACCGGCUAACUCCGUGCCAGCAGCCGCGGUAAUACGGAGGGUGCGAGCGUUAAUCGGAAUAGCUGGGCGUAAAGGGCACGCAGGCGGUUAUUUAAGUGAGGUGUGAAAGCCCCGGGCUUAACCUGGGAAUUGCAUUUCAGACUGGGUAACUAGAGUACUUUAGGGAGGGGUAGAAUUCCACGUGUAGCGGUGAAAUGCGUAGAGAUGUGGAGGAAUACCGAAGGCGAAGGCAGCCCCUUGGGAAUGUACUGACGCUCAUGUGCGAAAGCGUGGGGAGCAAACAGGAUUAGAUACCCUGGUAGUCCACGCUGUAAACGCUGUCGAUUUAGGGGUUGGGGUUUAACUCUGGCGCCCGUAGCUAACGUGAUAAAUCGACCGCCUGGGGAGUACGGCCGCAAGGUUA
Molecule: ribosomal RNA, 547 nt
Filed under: uncultured bacterium
Lineage: Bacteria
Description: bacterial SSU rRNA
Rfam family: Bacterial small subunit ribosomal RNA
Source: RNAcentral